Molecule: unclassified non-coding RNA, 332 nt
Filed under: uncultured fungus
Lineage: Eukaryota; Fungi
Description: sequence contains ITS1
Rfam family: 5.8S ribosomal RNA (bases 1-105)
Source: RNAcentral
GAAGUGCGAUAAGUAAUGUGAAUUGCAGAAUUCCGUGAAUCAUCGAAUCUUUGAACGCAAAUUGCACUCUUUGGUAUUCCGAAGAGUAUGCCUGUUUGAGGGUCAGUUAAAUAAAAAUCGGUGUUGUUGCUGCCUUUCGUGGUAACGCUUCGGAUUUGGGUCGUCUUACCUUCGGUUAAGUGACCUAAAAUUUUGCAUGAUUUUUCGAACGUAUUUAAAUUAUUUACGUACGUUUGUGAUAUCGAAUAUAUUAGAUGUGAUCAUUCUCAUGAUUCGUGUCUAUAAUUUUGUAAAAUGACCUCAAAUCAGGUAAGAGUACCCGCUGAACUUAA